GCUCCAGUAGCUCAGCUGGUUAGAGCGUUGUGCUAAUAACGCAAAGGUCUAGGGUUCGAAUCCCUGCUGGAGCA
Transfer RNA from Ordospora colligata OC4, 74 nucleotides. It matches the Rfam family "tRNA". From Rfam's summary of the family: Transfer RNA (tRNA) molecules are approximately 80 nucleotides in length. Their secondary structure includes four short double-helical elements and three loops (D, anti-codon, and T loops). Further hydrogen bonds mediate the characteristic L-shaped molecular structure. tRNAs have two regions of fundamental functional importance: the anti-codon, which is responsible for specific mRNA codon recognition, and the 3' end, to which the tRNAs corresponding amino acid is attached (by aminoacyl-tRNA synthetases). tRNAs cope with the degeneracy of the genetic code in two manners: having more than one tRNA (with a specific anti-codon) for a particular amino acid; and 'wobble' base-pairing, i.e. permitting non-standard base-pairing at the 3rd anti-codon position. The record is from Rfam. Lineage: Eukaryota; Fungi; Microsporidia; Ordosporidae.